UGGGGAAUAUUGGACAAUGGGCGCAAGCCUGAUCCAGCCAUGCCGCGUGAGUGAUGAAGGCCCUAGGGUUGUAAAGCUCUUUCACCGGUGAAGAUAAUGACGGUAACCGGAGAAGAAGCCCCGGCUAACUUCGUGCCAGCAGCGGCGGUAAUACGAAGGGGGCUAGCGUUGUUCGGAUUUACUGGGCGUAAAGCGCACGUAGGCGGACUUUUAAGUCAGGGGUGAAAUCCCGGGGCUCAACCCCGGAACUGCCUUUGAUACUGGAAGUCUUGAGUAUGGUAGAGGUGAGUGGAAUUCCGAGUGUAGAGGUGAAAUUCGUAGAUAUUCGGAGGAACACCAGUGGCGAAGGCGGCUCACUGGACCAUUACUGACGCUGAGGUGCGAAAGCAUGGGGAGCAAACAGG
Molecule: ribosomal RNA, 404 nt
Filed under: Actinomycetes bacterium
Lineage: Bacteria; Bacillati; Actinomycetota; Actinomycetes
Description: Actinobacteria bacterium partial 16S ribosomal RNA
Rfam family: Bacterial small subunit ribosomal RNA
Source: RNAcentral